This 109-nucleotide ribosomal RNA is filed under the name Clostridium chromiireducens. Its description in RNAcentral is "partial 16S ribosomal RNA". It matches the Rfam family "Bacterial small subunit ribosomal RNA", at positions 1428 to 1533 of the family's 1533-position model. The record is from RNAcentral. Lineage: Bacteria; Bacillati; Bacillota; Clostridia; Eubacteriales; Clostridiaceae.
UCGUGAGCUAACCGUAAGGAGGCAGCGACCUAAGGUAGGGUCAGCGAUUGGGGUGAAGUCGUAACAAGGUAGCCGUAGGAGAACCUGCGGCUGGAUCACCUCCUUUCUA